This 231-nucleotide ribosomal RNA is filed under the name uncultured bacterium. RNAcentral describes it as "partial 16S ribosomal RNA". It matches the Rfam family "Bacterial small subunit ribosomal RNA", at positions 88 to 334 of the family's 1533-position model. The record is from RNAcentral.
UCGGCGAGCGGCGGACGGCUGAGUAACGCGUGGGAAUCUGCCCCAAAGUGAGGGAUAACUGCCCGAAAGGGUAGCUAAUACCGCAUAUGGUCUUCGGAUUAAAGCAUUUAUGCGCUUUGGGAGGAGCCCGCGUCGGAUUGGGUAGUUGGUAGGGUAAUGGCCUACCAAGCCGACGAUCCGUAGCUGGUCUGAGAGGAUGAUCAGCCAGACUGGGACUGAGACACGGCCCAG